Non-coding RNA from Schizosaccharomyces pombe (fission yeast), 311 nucleotides. The record is from the annotation of a GenBank genome assembly. Lineage: Eukaryota; Fungi; Ascomycota; Schizosaccharomycetes; Schizosaccharomycetales; Schizosaccharomycetaceae.
AAACGUACCUUAAUCACUUGGACUAAAAUAAGCAAUUUAAAGUUCUUCAAAUCUACCAUAUGUUGCUUUCCAACGAUUCUAGCAACAGUGCGAUAUAUAUCAUCUUUUUUUAGGACUGUAUGAUUUCGGAUAUUGGCUUGAACAGCGAACUCCUGGAGUUAGCCUAUUGUAUGCUAAAGCCAUAUAUUAUUGCUAACUUACCUUAAUCCCUUCCUGGCCUUCAUGAAAUAACGGGUCAAUCAGACUUUUAGCAAGCUCCUCGAGAUCAUCCAGGGAAACGCCAGUUGUUCUUACAAUCGGUAUCAAUCGUU